ACGAACCGUCCAAACGUUAUUCGGAAUUACUGGGCUUAAAGGGUGCGUAGGCGGCGCGGAAAGUUGGGUGUGAAAUCCCUCGGCUCAACCGAGGAACUGCGCUCAAUACUACCGUGCUCGAGGGAGAUAGAGGUGAGCGGAACUUAGGGUGGAGCGGUGAAAUGCGUUGAUAUCCUAAGGAACACCGGUGGCGAAAGCGGCUCACUGGAUCUCUUCUGACGCUGAGGCACGAAAGCUAGGGUAGCGAACGGGA
This 253-nucleotide ribosomal RNA is filed under the name uncultured prokaryote. Its description in RNAcentral is "partial 16S ribosomal RNA". It matches the Rfam family "Bacterial small subunit ribosomal RNA", at positions 525 to 777 of the family's 1533-position model. The record is from RNAcentral.